AGUCGAGCCUGCCCAGUGAUUAAAUUUAACGGCCGCGGUACUCUGACCGUGCAAAGGUAGCAUAAUCAUUUGCCCUAUAAUUGAGGGCUAGUAUGAAUGGUUUGACAAGAGUGAUUCUGUCUCUAUAAAAUUUUAUAGAAUUUGGUUUUUAGGUGAAGAAACCUAAAUAAUAUUGAAAGACAAGAAGACCCUAUCGAGCUUAAAAAAAUUUUACUGAUUAAAUGUAAAAAUCAUUUCAAUAAAAAAUUUUGGUUGGGGCGACUAAGGAACAUAAAAAGCUUCCUUUUUAUAAUAAAAACUAAUAGGUAUUGAUCCAAAAAAAUUGAUUAAUAAAAUUAGUUACCGUAGGGAUAACAGCAUAAUCUUUUUUAAGAGUUCUUAUCGAAAAAAAGGUUUGUGACCUCGAUGUUGGACUAGGAUAUCCUGAAGAUGUAGAAGUCUUCAAAGGUUGGUCUGUUCGACCAAUAAAAUCCUACGUGAUCUGAGUUCAGAC
Molecule: ribosomal RNA, 493 nt
Filed under: Kobeltocochlea tamarae
Lineage: Eukaryota; Metazoa; Mollusca; Gastropoda; Littorinimorpha; Benedictiidae
Description: Kobeltocochlea sp. 'tamarae' VIT-2018 partial large subunit ribosomal RNA
Rfam family: Bacterial large subunit ribosomal RNA
Source: RNAcentral